This 245-nucleotide ribosomal RNA is filed under the name uncultured bacterium. Its description in RNAcentral is "partial small subunit ribosomal RNA". It matches the Rfam family "Bacterial small subunit ribosomal RNA", at positions 26 to 285 of the family's 1533-position model. The record is from RNAcentral.
AGAAUCAACGCUGGCGGCGUGCCUAACACAUGCAAGUCGCACGAGAAAGGGGAGCAAUCCCUGAGUACAGUGGCGCACGGGUGAGUAACACGUGAAUCAUCUACCUUCGAGUGGGGAAUAACUGAGAGAAAUCUUAGCUAAUACCGCAUAAUACCUACGGGUCAAAGCAGCAAUGCGCUUGAAGAGGAGUUCGCGGCAGAUUAGUUAGUUGGCGGGGUAAUGGCCCACCAAGACGAUGAUCUGUA